ACUGGACUUGGAGUCAAAAGG
RNAcentral lists this microRNA (21 nucleotides) under Mus musculus (house mouse). RNAcentral describes it as "microRNA miR-225". The record is from RNAcentral. Lineage: Eukaryota; Metazoa; Chordata; Mammalia; Rodentia; Muridae.